RNAcentral lists this ribosomal RNA (385 nucleotides) under uncultured Sulfurihydrogenibium sp. RNAcentral describes it as "bacterial SSU rRNA". It matches the Rfam family "Bacterial small subunit ribosomal RNA", at positions 535 to 920 of the family's 1533-position model. Lineage: Bacteria; Pseudomonadati; Aquificota; Aquificia; Aquificales; Hydrogenothermaceae. The record is from RNAcentral.
UCUAAGUUGCGCGAUUUACUGGGCGUAAGGGUCCUGUAGGCGGUCUGGUAAGUGGAAGGUGAUUCCUACGGUUCAACCGUAAAAUUGCCUUCCAAACUGCUGGACUUGAGGCAGGGAAAGGUCGGCGGAAUUCCCGGGGUAGCGGUGAAAUGCGUAAAUAUCGGGAGGAACACCAGUGGCGAAGGCGGCCGACUGGAACUGUCCUGACGCUGAGGGACGAAAGCUAGGGGAGCAAACCGGAUUAAAUACCCGGGUAGUCCUAGCCGUAAACGAUGGAUGCUAGAUGUGGCCUACGAAAGUAGGCCGUAUCGCAAGCUAACGCGUUAAGCAUCCCGCCUGGGGAGUACGGCCGCAAGGUUGAAACUCAAAUGAAAUUGACGGAUGU